Rhineura floridana is the source of this 1490-nucleotide long non-coding RNA. RefSeq lists it as uncharacterized. The transcript is spliced from 3 exons. Lineage: Eukaryota; Metazoa; Chordata; Lepidosauria; Squamata; Rhineuridae. The record is from RefSeq and is a predicted model, not a curated record.
UUCAGUAAAUAUAUAGCUUUCAGCAGCAUAAAGAGUACUUUCUCUGUACAGGAUUGGGACUUGCUUCUCAGUAAACAUGUAUUGCACUACAACAGAAGAUCACAGAAGGAUCUUGGUAGGCAUAAAAGUAUACAUGAUGGCUUCUGUCUUUUGUCUUUUCCCAAGCUUUUUGAGAAGAAUGGAAGAGCAGCCCAAUCUCUCCAGGAUUGUGCAGAUCCCACUGGGCCACUGCCACCAAAGUCUGCCCUGGUGAACUCACACUGGUAUGACUAGAACAUAGCAGGAUGAACAUGCAGGAAAGAUGCAAUAUCAUUGAUUGAUAAUGUGGAAAGUCGAUUGCAAUUCUCCUUGUAGCUUCCAACAGAAGAGCAGUGAUUUAUUACUGUGGGGAGCCACCUGCCUGGAGGCACCUUGGGACUGCUGCCCAUCAGAGUGGAGAGUACUGAGCCACAUGGCCAAAUAUUACGACUCUCUAUAAGGCAAGUUCUUAUGAUUCAUAGUUCCUACCAAGAAACUGAUUCUGUAAAGGAUGUCUUUGGAGCUUCUUAUCAAUUGCUAAAAUGGAGUAUAUGAAACAAUAGGCAUUGGCUUGGGCAUUUUGAUUGUUGCUAAGCUUGAUUGUCCUUAAUUACAUAUGUAUGUUGCCUAGAGACAUUUUGUAUUAAGUGACAAAUAAAUCAAAUUAAUGCCAAUUUCUAAAACUGCUCCCUGGAUUAUGACAAUUAGAAUUUUAGAAGUUUCCGACUGCCCCAAUUCAGCAAAGGGAGAUUUUGUGCCUUGGUGUUAGUUGAGGCUGAUAAAUGCUUAUACGUAUAGGGCUGUAUUCAACUUUUACUCAGAGUAGAUGCAUUCAAAUGAAUGAACCUGAGUUAGUAAUGGCCAUAAAUUUCAGUGGGUGUACUGUGAGUAAACGUUAGUUGAAUACAACUCGUCUUUUAUAUUUAAAUAUAUACUUUAUGUCAAUUUAUUUUAAGGUGGUUUACACAUAAAAUGCAAUAAAUUCUCCUAAAACUAGAAUAAAACAGCAAAAUACAGAGGUCAGUUAAUAUCAAGUUGUAUAUCUAAAACACUUGGGUAAAUGAAAAAGUUUUAUCCUGGCACGUAAUAGUAAGGAAAAAGAUGCCUGUUGUCAAGAGGCUGUGAAUUGGGGUACCACAGCCAGAAAAAUCCCCCUCUCUGGUCACUGUCCGCCUCAUUAAUGAUGUCAUCAUUUGAAGAAGAGCUUUAGCAGAUGAACUGAAUACCUGGGCAGGUUGAUAAAAGGGGCAGGCAUCCCUUUGAGCACUUGUGCCCCCAAGCGCUUAGUGCUUUAUAGGUAAGCAGUCUCCCUCUGCCCACGAGACAUUAUAGAUGUCACAUUACCCUAAGCUGUUUAAAGGCACACUGAGCCACUUGGCCCUCUAGUGGCAAAGCUGAAUCUAGCAGCAUCCAUCACCUUGGAACUAGGGGAACAUCAUCACUUGGAACUAGAGGAUCGUUCUUCUUCAUCU